GGCGAUGACGGUAAGGGAGAAGGUGUCGGUGAGUAAGGUGAGCCUCCCUCCUAAGGCUGGUCUACUUUAGGUGGCAAGUCCAGGCAGCGGCCGCCGUUCUGGCCUCGACAUAUCCCGGCAGGCAGAGGAUGCGCGAAGCGGCGGGCCUCGACAGUGCCGAUCGCGGUGGGCAGAGGCCGCGCGGCGGCGGUCCUCGGCGUCCCAACCUUCCGCCAUUCCGUCCUCAGCGGCGGCGAGUGGAGGCCGUGCGACGCGCCGGACCCCGGCAACAGAACCGACCUCCGUUCCACCCUAGGCAGUGCCGAUCGAGGCGAGCCGAUUCCACGCGACGCGGUGCGAGCCGGCACCUGAACCGGCCGCCGUUCUGCCCCGGCAGCGCCGACAACAGCAGGCCGAGGCCGUGUGAGUUCCGGUCGGCUUCCAACACCGACUGGGCGAGGGACACUCUACCACCGUACCACCUUGACAUCGCGCACGUCGGCCACCGGCUCUAAGGCGCCCUCCAACCUGCUAGUGUCACCUUCUACGCUUGAGCUACGUUCGAGUUGUCCGUUUCCGCGUUCUUGUAUGGACGCCUGCUACUUCACCGUCCUCGAGGCAGGUACGACUUCUUGUGCCAUCUACAACUAGGUGCCUCUCCUGUUAAAGGAUAGUUAGAACUAGAUAUAUAAAAGGAAACUAGGUCCCCGUUGUUAAUUGUUACCUUGUCUAACCAUACUCUCAUACCUACUUCGGUGCUUCUCUAAAACCGCCGUUAGACAACAAUGCGCCCUCUCUUUGUACACCAAAACGACUAAAAGACCUUCGAUUGACGUUAACCUCUCUAUUCCCAACGAAUUAACCACCCCAGCAUGGCCCUGUCCACAGCCGGUGGACAACCGGGACGUGUUAUCACGCACGACCCUUGGUCGCCCUCUCGGGCUGGGGUCGCGGUCCGGAUCCCACCCACCCCGCACCGGGUCAGCGUCUCUCCCCGCCGCGUACCUGACCCGCGUCCCUGCCCGGCGCUAUAAUUUUAGCCGACCGCCAUGGAACCGAAACACCUCGCGCCCCUAGCAGAGCACAGCACACAGAUAGGUCAUAGGUGUCCGUUCUACCUCUCUCCACGCACAGAGAGAGCUCGGGCGGGCCGCAGCAGCGCCCGUGGUAGUCGGCGCCGUGCCGUCGUCAGUCGCCAGCGUGCGGUGCAGGGCCCGUCGUCGAUCGCUCCGCUCUGUCCAGCCCAGCCCUACCCUACCCGCCAACUGACGACGCAGAUUUGGAUGUGGAUGCAUCUCAUAUAUGAUGAGGGUUCACAUCCGCAUGUCUUGGGUGGGUGGGUUCACAACCGUAGGAACAGAACAAAAGCCGAGCCCCUACGUACCGUUCUGGUUCUGGCUCCAGCAGAGUAGGUAGGUAGGUAGGUACACCCCGAGCCGAGCAGGUUCAGGUUGUCACCUCACACACACAAGGCUGUAGGAGAACCGGACAACCUACCUACGUCACAACUCCGAUAACACAGCAGCCAACUGAACACGCGGAUGAGGACGAAGCAGAGAAGAGAAGAAGGUACGUACCCGUGUUUGGAAGGCCAGCGAACUUAUAAAAUUCAAGGUCAAUAUACGUCCCUGAGUGUCGUGUCCCUUGGUAAAGGAUGCAUCGUUUCCAGGCAAACUCUUGUACGUAGCACACAGUACCGUACCGUUUGUAUUUAUUAUUACCUUGGUGUACGUACGUACGCACCAAUAACAAUUUGUUCACACGAAGAGAUCGUAAGUCAAGGAGUGCGUGUGGGAGGAAGAACUAAUUUUAUGGCGCCCCGAAGAAAAGAAAACUCUUCCUCAGAAAGACGUUUUCUUUGAAUCUAGGCAUAUAUACGUUAACU
Molecule: ribosomal RNA, 1864 nt
Filed under: Triticum aestivum (bread wheat)
Lineage: Eukaryota; Viridiplantae; Streptophyta; Magnoliopsida; Poales; Poaceae
Description: partial small subunit ribosomal RNA
Source: RNAcentral